RNAcentral lists this transfer RNA (68 nucleotides) under Marmota monax (woodchuck). RNAcentral describes it as "tRNA.Ala". The record is from RNAcentral. Lineage: Eukaryota; Metazoa; Chordata; Mammalia; Rodentia; Sciuridae.
GCUGUAGCUUAGUGGUAGAGCACUCGCCCAGCAUAGGCAAGGCCCUGGGUUCCAGCCCCAGCAAAGCA